GACGAACGCUGGCGGCGUGCCUAAUACAUGCAAGUAGAACGCACAGGAUGCACCGUAGUUUACUACACCGUAUUCUGUGAGUUGCGAACGGGUGAGUAACGCGUAGGUAACCUGCCUGGUAGCGGGGGAUAACUAUUGGAAACGAUAGCUAAUACCGCAUAAGAACAUUUACUGCAUGGUAGAUGUUUAAAAGGUGCAAAUGCAUCACUACCAGAUGGACCUGCGUUGUAUUAGCUAGUAGGUGAGGUAACGGCUCACCUAGGCGACGAUACAUAGCCGACCUGAGAGGGUGAUCGGCCACACUGGGACUGAGACACGGCCCAGACUCCUACGGGAGGCAGCAGUAGGGAAUCUUCGGCAAUGGGGGGAACCCUGACCGAGCAACGCCGCGUGAGUGAAGAAAGGUUUUCGGGAUCGUAAAAGCUCUGUUGUUAAAGGAAAGAAACGAAGUGGG
This 454-nucleotide ribosomal RNA is filed under the name Streptococcus intermedius. RNAcentral describes it as "bacterial SSU rRNA". It matches the Rfam family "Bacterial small subunit ribosomal RNA", at positions 28 to 461 of the family's 1533-position model. The record is from RNAcentral. Lineage: Bacteria; Bacillati; Bacillota; Bacilli; Lactobacillales; Streptococcaceae.